UGGGGAAUCUUGCACAAUGGGGGCAACCCUGAUGCAGCGACGCCGCGUGAGCGAUGAAGCCCUUCGGGGCGUAAAGCUCUUUCGACCGGAACGAUAAUGACGGUACCGGGAGAAGAAGCUGCGGCUAACUACGUGCCAGCAGCCGCGGUAAUACGUAGGCAGCAAGCGUUGUUCGGAGUUACUGGGCGUAAAGAGUGCGUAGGCGGUUUUCUAAGUUCGGUGUGAAAUCUCCCGGCUUAACUGGGAGGGUGCGCCGAAGACUGGGAAGCUGGAGUGUGGAAAGGCAGGCGGAAUUCCUGGUGUAGCGGUGAAAUGCGUAGAUAUCAGGAGGAACACCGGCGGUGUAGACGGCUUGCUAGACCAUAACUGACGCUGAGGCACGAAAGCGUGGGUAGCAAACA
This 401-nucleotide ribosomal RNA is filed under the name uncultured bacterium. RNAcentral's name for it is "bacterial SSU rRNA". It matches the Rfam family "Bacterial small subunit ribosomal RNA", at positions 355 to 774 of the family's 1533-position model. The record is from RNAcentral.